Non-coding RNA from Vicia faba (fava bean), 261 nucleotides. The record is from the annotation of a GenBank genome assembly. Lineage: Eukaryota; Viridiplantae; Streptophyta; Magnoliopsida; Fabales; Fabaceae.
AUGGAGAGUGUGACAACAACAUUGCAAGGGCUGGCUCUACAAAUGCAACAGCACGCUCAGCCGAUGCAACAACAAAGCUUGAUUUUAACUGAAUUGAGCAAGCAGAUAGGUCAGAAGGGAGUGACUCAGGAGGAUGACACCUCUGUUGGUCAUUCAUCACAGAGCGUGUCUCGCCUUGCCGGGAAGAAGGUGAAGCUUCCGGUGUUUGAAGGGAGGGAAACAAGAACAGCAAGGUUUCCUCAACAAUUUCUUGGAAGAUAG